UACGGAAGGGGCAAGCGUUGUUCGGAAUUAUUGGGCGUAAAGGGUGCGUAGGCGGCGCGGUAAGUCGGGUGUGAAAUCUUGGAGCUUAACUCCGAAACUGCAUUCGAUACUGCCGUGCUUGAGGACUGGAGAGGAGACUGGAAUUUACGGUGUAGCGGUGAAAUGCGUAGAUAUCGUAAGGAAGACCAGUGGCGAAGGCGGGUCUCUGGACAGUUCCUGACGCUGAGGCACGAAGGUCAGGGGAGCAAACGGG
Molecule: ribosomal RNA, 253 nt
Filed under: uncultured bacterium
Lineage: Bacteria
Description: partial 16S ribosomal RNA
Rfam family: Bacterial small subunit ribosomal RNA
Source: RNAcentral